GCAAGUCGAACGGUAACAGGGAAGAGCUUGCUCUUUUGCUGACGAGUGGCGCACGGGUGCGUAACGCGUAUACAAUCUACCUUUUACAGGGGGAUAGCCUUUAGAAAUGAAGAUUAAUACCCCAUGGCAAGUAACUUUCGCAUGGAAGCUACUUUAAAGUUUCGGCGGUAAAAGAUGAGUAUGCGUUCUAUUAGCUAGAUGGUGUGGUAACGGCACACCAUGGCGACGAUAGAUAGGGGCCCUGAGAGGGGGAUC
Molecule: ribosomal RNA, 255 nt
Filed under: uncultured bacterium
Lineage: Bacteria
Description: partial 16S ribosomal RNA
Rfam family: Bacterial small subunit ribosomal RNA
Source: RNAcentral